UCAAGCAUCUCGGGCGAAAAAACUUAAGUACAGAAAAACAGAUUGACAAUUUUUUAGAGGAUUAGAUUAGUUAGUGGAGAGACCACUCAACAUAUUUUAAAGCUGAUGCUCUAAGAAGUAUCUAUAGCAAAUUUUAGGCUUUGACUUCACUGCGAGCUGCUCAUACGAAAUUAUCAACCAUAGUAACUAUUGGGUAUAUGUCAUAAAAAAAUCGAUAACAAUUUUCAUGCAACAUGGAAACUUAUUGAUAUUUUCCUUCGCAUCCAAGUGGGCUGUGAAAAAAUUCCUAUAUCCCAGCGCAGAGAACAAAAAACUUUCAGUCUGAAUCGACUACUCGUCUAGAGCACAUUGUGAGCUUGUGAAAAAAAAGGAAAAAAUAAUAAUUAAAAAUAUAAAAAUAAAUAAUUUUUUUUUCGCGCGAUUUUCGGAAAUAAAAGCUAAAAGUAAUUCGAUAAAAUGCGUCCAUCACCGUUUAACUACAGCAAUUCUUCGCGUUCACGUGGCACGUUGGGGGGAGUCAGGCUGUCGAAGAAGGCUCGUCGCGCUUUGCAGAACUUCUUGAAGGAGCUGGUAGCGCUUCAGAUUGUCAUCGACAAUUUUCAGAUGUUAUCUAACCACUUGGAGGAGGAGACCGCCGAUUAGUUCUUAUUCUAUAAAGAAAUGCACGCUUUUGCUACAAUUUACACCGAAAAAAAAAACUGUUCAGGCAGCAUUUUCGUGGCCACGUGAAAAUUACAAAAUUAAGCAUCUCCGGCAAAAAACAAGCUUAAAUACAGAAAAAAUGUUAGACAAUUUUCAGAUGUCAGCUGACUAAUUGAAUAUUGAGGAAGAUUACACAUAUUUACACCGAAAAAAAAAAACAUAGUUCAGACAGCAAAUAAAAUUGGAUAAUUAGGCAUCUCGCGCAAGACACAAACUUAAACACAGAAAAAAAGGUCAACAAUUUUCAGAUGUCAGCUGACAUUGAAUACAGAUGAAGACUAUUUCUAAUUAUAUAACGAAAAACACAGUUUUGCUACAAUUUACACCGAGAAAAGAACUUUUCACAUAGUUUAGGCAGCUUUUUCCGUGGCCACUUUAAAAUUGCGAAAUUAACCGUUUUCAAGCAUCUCGGCCCCAAGAAACUAACUUAAAUACAGAAGAAAACACGAUGUUUGCCGCUUGCUCAGCAAAUACGCUUGACACUGAGAUUACCAAUUCAAGAACACGAGGAGAACACUAGGCAAAAGUCACGGCUGCUUAU
Molecule: small RNA, 1243 nt
Filed under: Drosophila mojavensis
Lineage: Eukaryota; Metazoa; Arthropoda; Insecta; Diptera; Drosophilidae
Description: GI26119
Source: RNAcentral